Molecule: ribosomal RNA, 1214 nt
Filed under: Taomyia marshalli
Lineage: Eukaryota; Metazoa; Arthropoda; Insecta; Diptera; Tephritidae
Description: partial 16S ribosomal RNA
Source: RNAcentral
GCAAAUCAAUAUAAAUUGAUUAUUAUUUAUUUAUUAAUUAAUUUGUUUUUAUAUUUAAUGUAUUAAAAAUAAUUAUAUAGGUUAUUGUUUUAGUAAUUUUUAAUGAAAAAAUAAUUUUAAUGAUAGUGUAUUAUGUAUUGUGAAAGAUGGUUGAAAUAAGUUGAAAAAUUUUUAUUGAAAAAGAAAAUUUAAUUGUUUGUACCUUGUGUAUCAGGGUUUAUCUAAUAAUUAAUAAUUAUUUAUUAAUCUCGAUUUUAUAAGAGUUAAUAAUUUAUGAAAGUUAAUGUGUCAAAAUUAUUUUAAAUAAAUUAUUAGAAAUGAAAUGUUAUUCGUUUAUGAAGGUAUCUAGUUUUUUUAGAAAUAAAUUUAAUUUACAGAUUUUUAAUUUUUUCUUUAAUUUUUUAGGGUAAAAACUUAUUAAUUUGAAUAUUUUAAGGGAUAAGCUUUAAAAUAAAAUUUUAUAAAUUAAUAAAUUAUUAUUUUAAAUAUAUGCAUAUAAUUAGCAAUUAUUUAUAAGUUUGUUAUAAAUUAUUUUAUGACUUAUAUUAUUUAUUUUAAUUUUAAAUUUAUAUAAAAAUUUUUUUUUUAAUUUUUGUUGAAAAUUAACAAUGAUAAAAUUAGCAUAUAUAUUAUGUGUGAAUAAUAUUAUAUGAUAGGUUUAUAUAAAGAACUCGGCAAAUUAAUAUAUUCGCCUGUUUAACAAAAACAUGUCUUUUUGAGUUAUUUUUAAAGUCUAACCUGCCCAAUGAAUAAAUUUUUAAUGGCUGCAGUAUUUUAACUGUACAAAGGUAGCAUAAUCAUUAGUCUUUUAAUUGAAGGCUGGUAUGAAUGGUUGGACGAAAUAUAUACUGUUUCAUAUAAAUUUAUUUCAGAAUUUUAUAAUUUAGUUAAAAAGCUAAAAUUGAAUUAAAAGACGAGAAGACCCUAUAAAUCUUUAUAUUUAAUAUUAUUUAAAUUUUUUAGGAAUAUUUUAUUUUUAUAAUGUUAAUUAUUUUGUUGGGGUGAUGUUAAAAUUUAAUAAACUUUUAAUUUUUUUUUAUCAUUAAUUUAUGAUUAAUUGAUCCAUUAAUAGUGAUUAUAAGAUUAAGUUACUUUAGGGAUAACAGCGUAAUUUUUUUGGAGAGUUCAUAUCGAUAAAAAAGUUUGCGACCUCGAUGUUGGAUUAAGAGAUAAUUUUAGGUGUAGAAGCUUAAAUAAUAAGUCUGUUCGACUUU